This 293-nucleotide ribosomal RNA is filed under the name uncultured prokaryote. Its description in RNAcentral is "partial 16S ribosomal RNA". It matches the Rfam family "Archaeal small subunit ribosomal RNA", at positions 455 to 747 of the family's 1478-position model. The record is from RNAcentral.
GUGUCAGCCGCCGCGGUAAUACCGGCAGCUCAAGUGAUGACCGAUAAUAUUGGGCCUAAAGCGUCCGUAGCUGGCCGCACAAGUCUGUCCGGAAAUCCACCCGCUUAACGGGUGGGCGUCCGGCGGAAACUGUGCGGCUUGGGACAGGAAGGCUCGAGGGGUAGGUUCGGGGUAGGAGUGAAAUCCCGUAAUCCUGAACGGACCACCGAUGGCGAAAGCACCUCGAGAGGACUGAUCCGACAGUGACGGACGAAAGCUGGGGUCUCGAACCGGAUUAGAUACCCCUGUAGUCC